This 258-nucleotide ribosomal RNA is filed under the name uncultured bacterium. RNAcentral's name for it is "partial 16S ribosomal RNA". It matches the Rfam family "Bacterial small subunit ribosomal RNA", at positions 524 to 777 of the family's 1533-position model. The record is from RNAcentral.
UACAGAGGGGGCAAGCGUUAUUCGGAAUUAUUGGGCGUAAAGGGCGCGUAGGCGGCCUGGCAAGUGGAUGGUGAAAUCCCUCGGCUUAACCGAGGAACUGCCAUCCAGACUGCUUGGCUUGAGACCGGGAGAGGUGAGUGGAAUUCCCAGUGUAGCGGUGAAAUGCGUAGAUAUUGGGGAGGAACACCAGUGGCGAAGGCGGCUCACUGGACCGGUACUGACGCUGAUUGCGCGAAAAGCGUGGGGGAGCAAACGGGG